This 465-nucleotide ribosomal RNA is filed under the name Vreelandella stevensii. RNAcentral describes it as "partial 16S ribosomal RNA". It matches the Rfam family "Bacterial small subunit ribosomal RNA", at positions 338 to 795 of the family's 1533-position model. Lineage: Bacteria; Pseudomonadati; Pseudomonadota; Gammaproteobacteria; Oceanospirillales; Halomonadaceae. The record is from RNAcentral.
CCUACGGGGGGCUGCAGUGGGGAAUAUUGGACAAUGGGGGGAACCCUGAUCCAGCCAUGCCGCGUGUGUGAAGAAGGCCCUCGGGUUGUAAAGCACUUUCAGUGAGGAAGAACGCCUGGUGGUUAAUACCCAUCAGGAAAGACAUCACUCACAGAAGAAGCACCGGCUAACUCCGUGCCAGCAGCCGCGGUAAUACGGAGGGUGCGAGCGUUAAUCGGAAUUACUGGGCGUAAAGCGCGCGUAGGUGGCUUGAUAAGCCGGUUGUGAAAGCCCCGGGCUCAACCUGGGAACGGCAUCCGGAACUGUCCAGCUAGAGUGCAGGAGAGGAAGGUAGAAUUCCCGGUGUAGCGGUGAAAUGCGUAGAGAUCGGGAGGAAUACCAGUGGCGAAGGCGGCCUUCUGGACUGACACUGACACUGAGGUGCGAAAGCGUGGGUAGCAAACAGGAUUAGAUACCCUAGUAGUC